GACGAACGCUGGCGGCGUGCUUAACACAUGCAAGUCGAACGGAAAGGCCCUGCUUUUGUGGGGGGCUCGAGUGGCGAACGGGUGGGUAACGCAAGAGUAGCCUGCCCUGGACUUUGGGAUAACUUAAGGAAACGGGGGCGAAUACCGGAUAGGAGCUCCUGCUGCAGGGGGGGGGUGGGAAAGGGUCGGCGGUUGGGGCUGGAUGGGAGGCGUAUGAGCUUGUUGGGGGGGUAGGUGCUUACCAAGGCUUUGACGGGUAGCCGGCCUGAGAGGGAGUGCGGCCACAUGGGGACUGAUACACGGCCCAGACGCCGACGGGAGUCAGCAGUGGGGAAUAUUGCACAAUGGGGGGAAGGCGGAUGCAGCAACGCCGCGCGCGGGAUGACGGCCUUCGGGUUGUAAACCGCUUCCGCCUGGGACGAAGCGUGAGUGACGGUAAUGGGUAAAGAAGCACCGGCUAACUACGUG
Molecule: ribosomal RNA, 468 nt
Filed under: uncultured bacterium
Lineage: Bacteria
Description: partial 16S ribosomal RNA
Rfam family: Bacterial small subunit ribosomal RNA
Source: RNAcentral